UGUGGGAGCUGGCUUGCCUGCGAUAGCGGUGUGUCAGGUAGCAAAUGAGUUGCCGACCCACCGCCAUCGCAGGCAAGCCAGCUCCCACA
RNAcentral lists this unclassified non-coding RNA (89 nucleotides) under Pseudomonas fluorescens. Lineage: Bacteria; Pseudomonadati; Pseudomonadota; Gammaproteobacteria; Pseudomonadales; Pseudomonadaceae. The record is from RNAcentral.